RNAcentral lists this ribosomal RNA (551 nucleotides) under uncultured Glomus. Its description in RNAcentral is "SSU rRNA". It matches the Rfam family "Eukaryotic small subunit ribosomal RNA", at positions 552 to 1098 of the family's 1831-position model. Lineage: Eukaryota; Fungi; Glomeromycota; Glomeromycetes; Glomerales; Glomeraceae. The record is from RNAcentral.
AGGGCAAGUCUGGUGCCAGCAGCCGCGGUAAUUCCAGCUCCAAUAGCGUAUAUUAAAGUUGUUGCAGUUAAAAAGCUCGUAGUUGAAUUUCGGGAUUGACGUGAUGGUCGUGCCUUAAGGGGUAUGAACUGUCGCAGUUGAUUUCUCACCUUCUGGAGAAGCAUGAUGUCCUUAAUUGGGUGUCGUGUGGAACCAGGACCUUUACCUUGAAAAAAUUAGAGUGUUUAAAGCAGGCAUUUUGCUCGAAUACAUUAGCAUGGAAUAAUAGAAUAGGACGGCAUGGUUCUAUUUUGUUGGUUUCUAGGAUCACCGUAAUGAUUAAUAGGGAUAGUUGGGGGCAUUAGUAUUCAAUUGUCAGAGGUGAAAUUCUUGGAUUUAUUGAAGACUAACUACUGCGAAAGCAUUUGCCAAGGAUGUUUUCAUUAAUCAAGAACGAAAGUUAGGGGAUCGAAGACGAUCAGAUACCGUCGUAGUCUUAACCAUAAACUAUGCCGACUAGGAAUCAGACGAUGUUAAUUUUUUAAUGACUCGUUCGGCGCCUUACGGGAAAC